UCUUUCCUGCGCUCCCGCUAACACCUUGGCAGUGGCGUGAAAAUCCUUCCAGCUGGCACGAGAUGCUGAGAGCAUCUCCCCUGCCCCUUCAACCUUUGCUCUUUGUCUUUGUUUCGCUUCACCCUUCCUCCGGUAGCUCUCACUGCGCUGGCCACAGACUUCCUUUAGGUCAGACUAGCUGGGGCUGCAACGCGACUUGCAGCCGAGUCAGGAACACUGCUGUGCCACUGAGACUGCCCCGGAGGAGAGCAAUGCCAGACAGAGGUUGAUGGCCUGCUCAGUCCACUAGUCCAAGUCUCCAGAAAUGACAGGGAGGCCUCUCCAGGGGAUCAGAAUAGCCAGGAAAUGGAGUUACAAACAUUGCUUCUUCAAGCUGAGUUGGAAGGAGGCUGAGAAAUGAAGAAGACCACAUUCUCCUUGUUGCCCCAGAGCUGGCAUUCAGCAGCAGCACCCUUUCCCCUACAGGGAAUAAAGUGCAUCCAUUAAAGUACA
Long non-coding RNA from Pezoporus flaviventris, 492 nucleotides. RefSeq lists it as uncharacterized. The record is from RefSeq and is a predicted model, not a curated record. NCBI's taxonomy places the organism in Eukaryota, Metazoa, Chordata, Aves, Psittaciformes, Psittacidae. The transcript has 2 exons.